GGACGAACGCUGGCGGCGUGCUUAACACAUGCAAGUCGAGCGGUAAGGCCCUUUCGGGGUACACGAGCGGCGAACGGGUGAGUAACACGUGGGUGACCUGCCCUCAGCUCUGGGAUAAGCCUGGGAAACCGGGUCUAAUACUGGAUAUGACUCCAUGACGCAUGUUGUGGGGUGGAAAGCCUUGUGCGGCUGAGGAUGGGCCCGNGGCCUAUCAGCUUGUUGGUGGGUGANGGCCUACCAAGGCGACGACGGGUAGCCGGCCUGAGAGGGCGACCGGCCACACUGGGACUGAGACACGGGCCCAGACUCCUACGGGAGGCAGCAGUGGGGAAUCUUGCGCAAUGGGC
Molecule: ribosomal RNA, 347 nt
Filed under: uncultured bacterium
Lineage: Bacteria
Description: bacterial SSU rRNA
Rfam family: Bacterial small subunit ribosomal RNA
Source: RNAcentral